Molecule: ribosomal RNA, 253 nt
Filed under: uncultured bacterium
Lineage: Bacteria
Description: partial 16S ribosomal RNA
Rfam family: Bacterial small subunit ribosomal RNA
Source: RNAcentral
GACAGAGGGUGCAAACGUUGUUCGGAAUUACUGGGCGUAAAGCGCGUGUAGGCUGCUUGGCAAGUCGGAUGUGAAAGCCCUGGGCUUAACCCAGGAAGUGCAUUCGAAACUUCCAAGCUCGAGUCCUGGAGAGGGUGGCGGAAUUCUCGGUGUAGAGGUGAAAUUCGUAGAUAUCGAGAGGAACACCGGUGGCGAAGGCGGCUACCUGGACAGUGACUGACGCUGAGACGCGAAAGCGUGGGGAGCAAACAGG